AUUUCACAUAUCGACCAGCUGACAGCUGCGGACUUCAAUGGACAUUUUCACAACUGCUAUAUUGUCUGGUCAAAAUUGACAAGUUUAAGAAAAGAACCCGAUUGACUGAGUAUCUAACAAUGAAUGAUACAGAUAGUUUCUAGAUUCUCCGGAGUGACAAGUUUUCUCAAAAUAGAAAUGCCAUUAACUAUCAAGCUGUAAUGAGAAAUAAGGAAGUUGCUGAGUUCAACAGGUUAUAUCGGGCAGGUUAUCCGUCCCCGGAAUUCGAACUCCGGACCUCCCAAAUACGUGUCGAGAGUGUUUCCACUUAUACAACAAAGGACAUGCGGAAAGGAGGGAAAAAAUAUAAGAACCUUCUCCUCCAAUUUCCUAGUCAUUAUGGAUCAACACAUCUACGCCACCAAAAUGCCUUCUCCUGAAUAUAUUGCAAUUGAGUCGACAGGAAACAUGUCUGUGCGUUAGAAUUUCAGUAGAAAUGUCUGCAAUAACCAACCAUCUCCUCAAACUUCCAUGUGUAACGGAAAUUCAUAAUGAAUAUCAAGUACCUGCAAGUCCAAAAGUGCUAACGUCAGUGAAAACAAAGUG
Stegodyphus dumicola is the source of this 585-nucleotide long non-coding RNA. RefSeq lists it as uncharacterized. The record is from RefSeq and is a predicted model, not a curated record. NCBI's taxonomy places the organism in Eukaryota, Metazoa, Arthropoda, Arachnida, Araneae, Eresidae.